UCUAACCCAGAGGCUCCUCCAUGCUAGGCAAGUGCUGGCCCACUGAGCUACAUCCCGAGCCCUCGGGUCUGAAUUAUGGAACAGGCAAAUCUGGUUCAAAAGAAAAGGGCCAAUGUUGCAAUGAAUUCCUACAUCUACGCUGAAUAGGGCAAAGCCAAUUCCAAGGGCUCUUUCUUUUCUGGAAGGACAUAUUUUUUGUUUGACCAAGUACAGGUAGGCCUCAAGAUAUAUAUUUUUUUAGUUGUAAUACCUUUAUUUUAUUUAUUUAUUUUCUUAUGGUGCUGAGGAUGGAACCCAGUGCCUCACACAUGCUAGGCAAGUGCUGUACCACUGAGCCAUGACCCCAGCUCCAAAGCUUCAAGAGAUCUUGGGGUGCAUCCCAUGACAUGGAAAACUUACUGCAAGUUCUGCUGUGCUCUGAGCACAACAACAGCCUGACUUCCUCAUUCUGCAGAAGAGAUGUCUACCCUGGCCAUCCCCAAUGUGGUUGGGCUCCUGACUUCAACCUCCUGCUCCAGCCUCCAUGAACUGGCAAAGGGUCUCACUAAGUUGUCCAGGCAGGGCUGGAACUUGGGAUCCACCCACCUCAGCCUCCCGAGUAACUAGGAUCACAGACGUGAGACACAGUGUCUGGCCAUCCAUCGUCUCUUGAUUGCACAUCCAUGGACAAGGAAUCUACUCUGUAGCUUCCAUCUCAGUCAUCCUUCUCUUCUUCUUGAGGUUCCUUUGGUGCGGGUGUGUGCAGGACCCCCAGCAAUGAUUCCUCUUCAUACACACUCGCUCUUUGAGCAAGCUUCUCAGACCCACAGCUUCUACCACUGUCCCUAUGCAGAGACUGUUGAGUGGCGGGCAGCAUGCCAAAGAACGCCAAAUAAUUGCAAGCUGAGGAGACCACAUGAUGGAAGAUGGUUGAGAGAAGAAGAAGAAAAAACCCCGAUAAUGAUGUGUUUGGGUUCCACAGAAGUCAAGUCCUGGGUCCUUCAUGUGACUAUGGGCAAGUUAGCACCCUACCUAAGUCCUGGAUCUCUCAUCCACAGAACUGUGAUAAGAAUAGUUCCUACUUCAUAGGGUUGUUAUGAGGAUUAAGUGGGACGUUUCUAGAGCAAGCAGCCAGUUCUCAGCAUUAUUACUGGCUCUUCUUAUUUUCAGGGAGGCCGUGGAGAGAAGCAAAAUAAACCAGGAAAUGGUCAUUUGUUCCUGGGACUUGAAACGCUUGGGGCAGUGGGCUGGUGGAGUUUAUCUGCUAACCCAGAACUCAGAGGUCUCAGGGCGGAGGGCAGGAGUAGGCAGCCGGUUCCCAGGAGGCUGCCCUCCUUCUGCCCAUGUGGAUGACCUUGCAAACACCUGACAGGGUGAGUUCAGCAAACACGUGGUUGGCCACAGUGCCCUCCAUGCAUGCCUGUCCCUGGCAUUCCUGAGAUAGUCUGUCCUGCAGUGGAGGGGGUGGGGGUGCUGGUGGAUUAGAAUGUUAAACAGCUUGAAGCCAGGGGAGAAGUCCACCUUUUGUACCAGGUAUUUGUGUGUGUGUGUGUGUGGGGGGGAGACAGACACAAUCACUGGAGGAAAAAGCCUCGUCCUUAAGAAAUACGUUGAGCUUGCCCUUCACACUUGUCCAGUUGCCAGGUCCUGAACUACACACAGCUGCUGUUUGUCUAUGAUUACAGGCCCUAAAAGUAUCUGCGGUGGCUGGAGCCAGCUUGUCCAG
Molecule: long non-coding RNA, 1705 nt
Organism: Urocitellus parryii (Arctic ground squirrel)
Lineage: Eukaryota; Metazoa; Chordata; Mammalia; Rodentia; Sciuridae
Source: RefSeq, a predicted model, not a curated record